Molecule: ribosomal RNA, 484 nt
Filed under: uncultured bacterium
Lineage: Bacteria
Description: partial 16S ribosomal RNA
Rfam family: Bacterial small subunit ribosomal RNA
Source: RNAcentral
GACGAACGCUGGCGGCGUGCUUAACACAUGCAAGUCGAACGAUGAAGCCGGAGCUUGCUCUGGUGAAUUAGUGGCGAACGGGUGAGUAACACGUGAGUAACCUGCCCUUGACUCUGGGAUAACUGCGGGAAACUGUAGCUAAUACCGGAUACGACCCUCGGAGGCAUCUCCUGGGGGUGGAAAGAAUUUCGGUCAAGGAUGGACUCGCGGCCUAUCAGCUAGUUGGUGAGGUAAAGGCUCACCAAGGCGACGACGGGUAGCCGGCCUGAGAGGGUGACCGGCCACACUGGGACUGAGACACGGCCCAGACUCCUACGGGAGGCAGCAGGGGGGAAUAUUGCACAAUGGGCGCAAGACUGAUGCAGCAACGCCGCGUGAGGGAUGACGGCCUUCGGGUUGUAAACCUCUUUUAGCAGGGAAGAAGCGAAAGUGACGGUACCUGCAGAAAAAGCACCGGCUAACUACGUGCCAGCAGCCGCCGUAA